AUUUUUUGUGGAGACAGGAUCUCGCUGUGUUGCCCGGGCUGGUCUCAAACUUCUGGACACAAACAAUCCUCCACAUUGGCCUCCCAAAAUGCUGGAAUUACAGGUGUGAGCCACUGGACCAGCAGGACUCUAAAUUUUGGUGCUCAAAAAACAUUUGUUGAGUAAGUGAACCUGAGACUAUCAACAAGCAUUAUUUUAAAAUCACUAGCAAAGGGACAGGACCUCUAUAUGUUGCUCAGGCUGGAGUGUGGCAGCUAUUCACGGAUGUGAUUAUAGUACACUACAGCCUCAACUCCUGGGCUCAAGCAAAGCUUCCCAAAUCGGUGGGACUAUAGGCACACGCCACUGUGCUGUUCAAUAAUAAGAUUUCUGUCUAACACCACUGCGCCUGUUUCCUUGAUAAAUAUUUAUUAUCUGUGUUUAUUUAUUUUAUCCUGGGAGAACAUACAAGAUUUCGGGGUCAGAGAACAGACUGAUUGUUUUAUGUACAGCAAUAACAGCACUGGCUCCCCACUCCCUAUUUCUCCUUUGAAGCCGUGCUGUGAAGGUAGAUGUCAGCCUGCACAUGCAAAGGGGUCGCUGCAUAAGACGAAUCCUGAAAUUGUGUAACUGGGAGUUUAUAUGAAGUGCCUCUCAGCAGCCCCGCCAACCCUCCUCCCUCUAGAGAGGGGAAGAGAAGUCAUCACUGUCUAAUGUGAAGGAAUUCUCUCUGGGAAGGGAGGAGACGGUCCCUAAAUUGUUACAACCCUUUGAAAUGUAAAGGAAGCCUCUGGAUUGUUUCUCAUUCUUUUAAAUGUAAAUAAAUGGCAAAUGGCUCUCAAGGCGAUCAAUUUUUAACUCUAUCUGGA
Molecule: long non-coding RNA, 848 nt
Filed under: Homo sapiens (human)
Lineage: Eukaryota; Metazoa; Chordata; Mammalia; Primates; Hominidae
Description: HSALNT0018878
Source: RNAcentral